AGUGAACGCUGGCGGUAGGCCUAACACAUGCAAGUCGAACGGCAGCACAGUAAGAGCUUGCUCUUACGGGUGGCGAGUGGCGGACGGGUGAGGAAUACAUCGGAAUCUACUUUUUCGUGGGGGAUAACGUAGGGAAACUUACGCUAAUACCGCAUACGACCUACGGGUGAAGGCAGGGGAUCUUCGGACCUUGCGCGAUUGAAUUAGCCGAUGUCGGAUUAGCUAGUUGGCGGGGUAAAGGCCCACCAAGGCGACGAUCCGUAGCUGGUCUGAGAGGAUGAUCAGCCACACUGGAACUGAGACACGGUCCAGACUCCUACGGGAGGCAGCAGUGGGGAAUAUUGGACAAUGGGCGCAAGCCUGAUCCAGCCAUACCGCGUGGGUGAAGAAGGCCUUCGGGUUGUAAAGCCCUUUUGUUGGGAAAGAAAAGCAGCAGGUUAAUACCCCGCUGUUCUGACGGUACCCAAAGAAUAAGCACCGGCUAACUUCGUG
RNAcentral lists this ribosomal RNA (492 nucleotides) under uncultured bacterium. Its description in RNAcentral is "partial 16S ribosomal RNA". It matches the Rfam family "Bacterial small subunit ribosomal RNA", at positions 29 to 507 of the family's 1533-position model. The record is from RNAcentral.